AUGGACGACAACUCCGCGCACCGCCGCCACCUCCUCCCACUGCCGGGCCCACAUGGACGCCCCCGCGCACCGCCGCCGCGUCCUCCGGCUGCCGGGCCCACAUGGACGCCUACCACUAGACAGUCCAUGCGUGUUCGCCCUCUCAUCCCAUCGCCACCGACCUCUCAUCCCGCCGCCGCCGACCUCUCCUCCUCCAUACACCGCCUCCAGCCCUCGCUCCGACUCCCGCCGGCCCACCCUGCCUCCGUAGCCGCCCGUUUCGUCCCGGGCUUCGGCUACUACCGCGUGCCCCCGCCGCCACCGCCGCCGCUGCCGCCGGCGGCGAGCGGUGGCGCAGGAUCCCAUCACUCGCGCUCGCUGUCGCAACCCCAGUUCUUCUCCAUGGACUUUCUCUUCCGGCCCCCGUACCCCGAUCCGUCUGCGCCAUCAGCGAUCGCGCUCUCCCCGCCGCCGCCGUCGGGCUCAGACCGGGGGGCGUCCGGACUGCCGCCGCCGUCGGGCUCCGAGCGGGGGGCGUCCAGACUGCCGCCGCUGCGGGCGGGGCAUCAGCGGUCGCAGAGCGACGUUCUCCUCGCGUUCUCCUCCCAGCAGAACCUGCCCAUGCCACCUCCGGCGCCGGUGAACGCGGAGGCCCUGGUGGCCGCGAACAACAGCACCCUCGACGGGAUCCUCGGCGCCUACAACAAGAGUACGAAUGGCCUGGGCGCGGUCGGCUCCUCCGGGCCCGUCGGCCAGGAGCAGCGCGACCAGCUGGACAGCCAAGCGCCCGCUUGGAGCCCCGGUGACAGCAGCGAGAACGAAGCCGAGAGCGCGGACGGCAGCUUGCCCAGGCAUUGCCGCAGCUUGUCGGCGGACAGCCUUGUAGGGAAGUUCAAGUUUGGACCGUCCGGCCUGGAGCCGUCCAACUCCAACUCCAACUCCAACCCGCCGCCUCCAUCUCCGGGUCCGGGGCCGGGUGCUGCUGCUCGGCUGGCACGCAGUGGAAGUGGUUCCAUUGGUGGCGCCGCUGCUCUCUUCGCCAAGGAAUUCGCAAACAGUAAGGAAUUCAGUGAAGCAGAGAAGAAGGUUAUCAUGGACAGUGAGCACCUCGCGCAGAUUGUGCUGACCGAUCCUAAGAGGGUCAGGAGGAUCCUAAACAAUCGGCUGUCUGCUGCUAAGUCAAAGGAGCGCAAGGCAAAAUACAUAGUGGAGCUUGAGGGCAAGGUUCAGGUGCUGCAGGGGGAGACUAUGAACUUAUCUGCACAAGUGAAAAUGGUUAAGAAGGGCCAGGCUAGGCUUUCAAUUCACAACCAUGAGAUGAGAAUCAGGCUGCAAGCUUUGGAGGAGCAAGCACAGUUGAAAAAGGCUCUGAACGAAGCAUUGCAUGCUGAGGUCGAACGCCUAAAUCUGGUUGUUGCCGAGGCCAGUAAUCCUCAUAUGCCGAACAGUUCAGAGCAACGGAUGAGCUCCCAGAUGAUUCAGCUUCACCAGCUGCAAAUUCUGAGGCAACCAUCACAGCUCCAGCAAGGUCAGCAACGCCAGCGGAACUUCUAG
This 1533-nucleotide ribosomal RNA is filed under the name Triticum aestivum (bread wheat). RNAcentral describes it as "partial small subunit ribosomal RNA". The record is from RNAcentral. Lineage: Eukaryota; Viridiplantae; Streptophyta; Magnoliopsida; Poales; Poaceae.